This 820-nucleotide long non-coding RNA is filed under the name Arabidopsis lyrata. Its description in RNAcentral is "long non-coding RNA (ALYR_LNC003435)". The record is from RNAcentral. Lineage: Eukaryota; Viridiplantae; Streptophyta; Magnoliopsida; Brassicales; Brassicaceae.
GUCUCACUCGGUUAACAAGCAGAUUCCAUGGGCGUCUUUAGUGGCAGCAUAAUUGACAAUCCAAACACAGUGAUGGUCCAUCUUGAGAACAAAUCUUUGACCUGCACAAGGAAACAUGGGUCGAGUAUAAAGCUUUCUUUCUCUAUCACUAGAAAGUGGUCACCAUACAACGGGAAUUUUCACUACUAAACACAACAAAGUAGCAAAUCAGAUUUUGCCUUACAGACAUUACAAUGAUGGUAACGAGGCAAUUACAAGCAAUGGAUUACAGAUUGAAUUCAUUAAAAGACUAAAGUAUGAAUUUUGAGAUAGAAUUUGCCAUAAGAACUCAUGAUUACGGAAUUGAUAGUUCUCGUUCCCAACAAUAAGCGAAUCAACAAGAGAUCUUAGAUCUAAGCAAAUCAACAAGAUUUCAUAAAUUUAUAAACGCAUUAUGAAACUCUUGCUCUUCGAAGAGAAAUCAAAUCAAACGAGAAGAAGGACAAAGGAUGAAGAAGACUAUACAAUGAUCAGAAACUUCGAAUCGUUUAUACAGGACCUCCGAUGACUAAGAGAGCGUUGUCGCCGUCGUCUUCGUCAGAGCGGUGGUGGUUGUUGUUUAUAUCCAUGGCGGAAAAUUGAGGAACUAAGAAAAAAUUUCUCAGUUUCAUCAAUGGCGGAGGAGAAAGGAGAACAAACCGAUAACAAGGACGAGAUACCGGAGACGACGGCCGGUGAGAUCGGCGGAGCGAGCUUCGAUUUGGGAGGAGAGAAUCAAAGGUGUGGAUACGAGAAUGUUUUGUUUUUUUGUUUUUAUUUUCGUUUUAGUUUUUAAGAAAAU